This 23-nucleotide small nuclear RNA is filed under the name Arabidopsis thaliana (thale cress). RNAcentral's name for it is "snRNA_07479". Lineage: Eukaryota; Viridiplantae; Streptophyta; Magnoliopsida; Brassicales; Brassicaceae. The record is from RNAcentral.
AUCCAAAACAAAUAGAAAACUAU